This 254-nucleotide ribosomal RNA is filed under the name uncultured bacterium. RNAcentral's name for it is "partial 16S ribosomal RNA". It matches the Rfam family "Bacterial small subunit ribosomal RNA", at positions 524 to 776 of the family's 1533-position model. The record is from RNAcentral.
UACGAAGGGGGCUAGCGUCGCUCGGAAUCACUGGGCGUAAAGCGCACGUAGGCGGCUUUCUAAGUCAGGGGUGAAAUCCUGGAGCUCAACUCCAGAACUGCCUUUGAUACUGGGGAUCUCGAGUCCGGGAGAGGUGAGUGGAACUCCGAGUGUAGAGGUGAAAUUCGUAGAUAUUCGGAAGAACACCAGUGGCGAAGGCGGCUCACUGGCCCGGUACUGACGCUGAGGUGCGAAAAGCGUGGGGAGCAAACAGG